RNAcentral lists this ribosomal RNA (804 nucleotides) under uncultured Pelagibacteraceae bacterium. RNAcentral describes it as "bacterial SSU rRNA". It matches the Rfam family "Bacterial small subunit ribosomal RNA", at positions 35 to 887 of the family's 1533-position model. The record is from RNAcentral. Lineage: Bacteria; Pseudomonadati; Pseudomonadota; Alphaproteobacteria; Candidatus Pelagibacterales; Candidatus Pelagibacteraceae.
GCUGGCGGCACGCCUUAUACAUGCAAGUCGAACGAAGUAGCAAUACUUAGUGGCAGACGGGUGAGUAACAUGUAGGUAUCUUCCCUUUGGUGAGGAAUAACACGAGGAAACUUGUGCUAAUACCUCAUAAGUCUUUACAGAGAAAGCUUUAUGCGCCGAAGGAUGAGCCUGCACUUGAUUAGUUUGUUGGUGGGGUAAUGGCUUACCAAGACUUUGAUCAAUAGCUGAUCUGAGAGGAUGAUCAGCCACAUUGGGACUGAGACACGGCCCAAACUCCUACGGGAGGCAGCAGUAGGGAAUAUUGCACAAUGGAGGAAACUCUGAUGCAGCGAUGCCGCGUGAGUGAAGAAGGCCUUUGGGUUGUAAAGCUCUUUCGUCGGGGAAGAAAAUGACUGUACCCGAAUAAGAAGGUCCGGCUAACUUCGUGCCAGCAGCCGCGGUAAUACGAAGGGACCUAGCGUAGUUCGGAAUUACUGGGCUUAAAGAGUUCGUAGGUGGUUAAAAAAGUUGGUGGUGAAAUCCCAGAGCUUAACUCUGGAACUGCCAUCAAAACUUUUUAGCUAGAGUAUGAUAGAGGAAAGCAGAAUUUCUAGUGUAGAGGUGAAAUUCGUAGAUAUUAGAAAGAAUACCAAUUGCGAAGGCAGCUUUCUGGAUCAUUACUGACACUGAGGAACGAAAGCAUGGGUAGCGAAGAGGAUUAGAUACCCUCGUAGUCCAUGCCGUAAACGAUGUGUGUUAGACGUUGGAAAUUUAUUUUCAGUGUCGCAGCGAAAGCAUUAAACACACCGCCUGGGGAGUACGACC